This 392-nucleotide ribosomal RNA is filed under the name uncultured bacterium. RNAcentral describes it as "partial 16S ribosomal RNA". It matches the Rfam family "Bacterial small subunit ribosomal RNA", at positions 523 to 918 of the family's 1533-position model. The record is from RNAcentral.
AUACGGAGGAUCCGAGCGUUAUCCGGAUUUAUUGGGUUUAAAGGGUGCGCAGGCGGCCAUUUAAGUCAGCGGUUAAAUCGUGGGGCUCAACCCCAUUCUGCCGUUGAUACUGGGUGGCUUGAUUGCGGUCGAGGUUGGCGGAAUUCGUUGUGUAGCGGGGAAAUGCAUAGAUAUGACGAAGAACACCGAUUGCGUAGGCAGCUGACCAGACCGCAAAUGACGCUCAUGCACGAAAGUGCGGGGAUCGAACAGGAUUAGAUACCCUGGUAGUCCGCACAGUAAACGAUGAAUACUUGUUUUCGGCGAUAUAAUGUCGGAGGCAAAGCGAAAGCGAUAAGUAUUCCACCUAGGGAGUACGCCGGCAACGGUGAAACUCAAAGGAAUUGACGGGG